GCAUGAGAAACCAAGUGCAUUCAAGAGAAGGGGAAGGAACAAGAGGGAGAUGACAACUUUUGAUGUUGUUUGCUGGUGCAGAAUCGGUAAAAGGACUUUUUCUACAUCAGGGAACUGGAGAACUGCUCAUUUGAUAUCAUCAUCUACAAAGGAAAGGAAGGUACUUAUGUAUAUCACUUUAUAUCACUUGAUAUCGGCAUAAACGUCCCCAAGGAUCUCACAUGGUCUGUACACACUGGCUGUGUGGUGAAAAAGGCACAACAGUGCCUCUUUCACCUCAGAUGGUUGAAGAAGUUUAGUAUGGGCCCCCAAAUCCUAGGAACUUUCUACAAGGGUACAACUGAGAGCAUCCUGACUGGCUGCA
Molecule: long non-coding RNA, 364 nt
Organism: Mobula hypostoma (lesser devil ray)
Lineage: Eukaryota; Metazoa; Chordata; Chondrichthyes; Myliobatiformes; Myliobatidae
Exons: 3
Source: RefSeq, a predicted model, not a curated record